GUUAAAAAGCUCGUAGUUGGAUUUCUGUCGAGGACGGCCGGUCCGCACUUUGUGCGUGUAUCUGGUUCGGUCUUGGCAUCCUCUUGGGGAACGUUUCUGUGCUUCGUUGCAUGGGGCGGGAUUCAAGACUUUUACUUUGAGGAAAUUAGAGUGUUCACGGCAAGCUAUCGCUUUGAAUACAUUAGCAUGGAAUAAUAAUAUAGGGCGUAAGUUCUAUUUUGUUGGUUUCUAGGACAUACGCAAUGAUUAAUAGGGACAAUUGGGGGCAUUCGUAUUAACGCGUCAGAGGUGGAAUUCUUAGAUUGCGUUACGACGAACUACUGCGAAAGCAUUUGCCAAGGAUGUUUUCAUUGAUCAAGAACGAAAGUAUGGGGAUCGAAGACGAUUAGAUACCGUCGUAGUCUAUACCAUAAACUAUGCCAAUUAGAGAUUGGAGGUCGUUCGUUUUAUGACUCCUUCAGCACCUUAUGAGAAAUCAAAAUUUUUGGGUUCCGGGGGGAGUAUGGUCGCAAGGCUGAAACUUAAAGGAAUUGACGGAAGGGCACCACCAGGAGUGGAGCCUGCGGCUUAAUUUGACUCAACACGGGAAAACUUACCAGGUCCAGACAUAGUAAGGAUUGACAGAUUGACAGCUCUUUCU
This 640-nucleotide ribosomal RNA is filed under the name uncultured marine eukaryote. RNAcentral's name for it is "SSU rRNA". It matches the Rfam family "Eukaryotic small subunit ribosomal RNA", at positions 618 to 1262 of the family's 1831-position model. The record is from RNAcentral.